RNAcentral lists this ribosomal RNA (358 nucleotides) under uncultured soil bacterium. RNAcentral describes it as "bacterial SSU rRNA". It matches the Rfam family "Bacterial small subunit ribosomal RNA", at positions 26 to 384 of the family's 1533-position model. The record is from RNAcentral.
AGAGCGAACGCUGGCGGCAGGCCUAACACAUGCAAGUCGAACGGACCCUUCGGGGUUAGUGGCGCACGGGUGCGUAACGCGUGGGAAUCUGCCCUUGGGUUCGGAAUAACAGUUGGAAACGACUGCUAAUACCGGAUGAUAUCGAAAGAUCAAAGAUUUAUCGCCCAGGGAUGAGCCCGCGUAGGAUUAGCUAGUUGGUGAGGUAAGGCUCACCAAGGCGACGAUCCUUAGCUGGUCUGAGAGGAUGAUCAGCCACACUGGGACUGAAGACACGGCCCAGACUCCGUACGGGAGCCAGCAGGUAGGGAAUAUUGGACAAGUGGGCCGACAAGCCUGGACUCCGAAGGCAAGUCGGCCG